Molecule: long non-coding RNA, 1590 nt
Organism: Rhinopithecus roxellana (golden snub-nosed monkey)
Lineage: Eukaryota; Metazoa; Chordata; Mammalia; Primates; Cercopithecidae
Exons: 3
Source: RefSeq, a predicted model, not a curated record
UCACCACCCCCAGACACACAAAAACGAACACCACAGAGAAAGUACAAAACCCAAGCCCUGCUCUUUGUGAAACACGCAUUUAAAAACAUAAAGAAGCAGCGCGCAAGUGGAAGAAAAGAUUUGCAAAACGAUAAAGUGAAAUGAUCUCCUGGGAAGAAUGGGAAGCAGGAGACAGGCAGAGUGAAACGUCAGGGCGUUUCUCUGCGCUGUGGCUCCACCCGGGUGACCAAAGCCCGGGACGGCUCUGCGGGAGGCUCCGACAUUUCCUCCACGGGGUAAACAGCGGUGUCCUCGGCAUUCCGUCACAAGGUCCGGGUCCCAAAGGAGCUGACUGAGGGCCCCACGUUCCUUCAUUGCGUUCCGGCUCUGUCUCUGCUGCGGGACAGUUCCUGGACCGCGCGAGCCGGACCAAGGGGACCAAGAAGGAAGAUCAGAGUGAGGAGCUGUCUGAGUGUUUAAGAUCACACAGUAACAUCCUGUUUGAUGGCUUCAGAAAUCCUUCAUGAGCUGGGAGACAGCACCCAAGGUUACAGGUCCUCUGAGAAGCAGAUGCCUACAUGGGAUUCACAUGAGGAGAUUUCAUUGGUGGAAACCCUGGAAGAACCAUUCAGCAGGAUGCACUUCUGAAGCCAAGUGCAGGAGGAAGGGACAGGAGGUUGCGCAGGUGCAUCCUACACUACAGUGAAUGGUGCUGGGACAACUGGAUGGCACAUGCGGAAGAAUGAAGCAUACCCCUUCCUUACAGCACACACAAAAAGUAGCUCUUCAUGAAUGCCAGAUGUCCUCCUAAAACAUGAAACUAUGAAAGUCUCAGAAGAAAAUACAGCAGUAAAUGUUUGUGACCUCAGAUUUAGCAAAGGCUUCUUAAGUACUGUAUACCAAUAGCACAAAUGGCAAAAUACAAGGUAGUUUAAUUUCAUUUCAUGCAAAUGCAAAACUUCUGUGCUUCAAAAAGGACUCCAUUUAGAAGGUUAAAAAAAAAACCUUACAGAAUGAGAGAAAAUAUUUAAAAAUCAUAUGUCUGGUGAGGGACUGGUAUGCUGAAUAUGUAAAGAACUCUUACAGAUCAAUGUUAUGAAGUGCAAUAACCCAAUUUAAAUAUAUGCAAUGAAUUUGAACAGACAUUUCUCAAAAGUGAGUCAGGUACACUACAUUAUGGUCUCAAAACAAUAGAAAAUUUUAGGCAGCAGUUUCAGGUGACAAGCAAAAAGAAUCCAUUGAAGUAUCUGCAGAGGCUCUGGACUGAUAAGAUGCUGCAAAACGGCAUGUGGACCAAGCCGACUAAGAACUAGUGGACCCAACAUGGCCCCGGAUUUGACCUAGGUUUCACCUGGGACCUCAUCACAUGCUGAUUAACAUACUAAACACCCAACAGCCAGCUCCCUAGCAGCUCUGAGAAUACCCAUUUUUGGUGUGAAAAUGGGUUGCACCACAGUUCUGAGAAAUCUCCACCUUCUUCCAGGAAUUUUUAUAAAUAUUCCACUCCUUGGUUGAAGAAACCCAGAAAGGUGACAGUCACAAACCCCCUUGCACCUCUCUCUUGAGUUUCCCUGCACUCCCUUCACUGCAGUAUGUACUUUUCCUUUUACA